Molecule: long non-coding RNA, 1479 nt
Organism: Jaculus jaculus (lesser Egyptian jerboa)
Lineage: Eukaryota; Metazoa; Chordata; Mammalia; Rodentia; Dipodidae
Exons: 9
Source: RefSeq, a predicted model, not a curated record
AGAAUGCUGUCUGGGCUUGGUGCCAAAGGCUGGUAUUUCACAGCAGCGACCGCCUCACAGACGAUCUGUGGGAAGCAGGAGGGAGACUGUCUCUUAGGGUGCCACUACUAUGGAGACACAGCUGGGCUGAACAAGAUUUGCUUCAAACGACAACAAGAGAGACAGAAAGUAUCUGGUUCAACCGCUGCCCAGGCAGGCAGGCACCAGAAGGGCGCGCCGCCAAUCCGGCCAUGCUCGAAGCCAGCUCAGCCAAUCAGUGACGUCACUGGAGUUUUCCUCAGAUUGCUCAUGGUGCUAUGAAGAGCAGAAUAAGGAAGACUUUCCAAUUGGUACUUCUCUCGGAGCCAAUCCACUACUCUGGAGACCAGAUCUUCAGGAAUUUUACGGGGAUAAUUGUUCCAAGGAAAUUGCAAGUACUCUAUCCACAUGGUUAUUGAUAAAAGAACAACCUCAAAAUAACAAACAGAAUAGGGGUGCUCAUCUCAUUGAAAAUACACCGUGUGAAAAGGUUUUUCUAAACAGUUCGGGAUAAAUGACAGAUGAAUUCUUAAAAGUGUUAUUCUCUGGAAGUAACAGUUAACAGUUGUCCCUAAAGGUUAAUCUGACUAUUUUAGCCAACUACAAGGAAAAGAUGAAUAUGAGAAGUGAAGAAAAUGAACACAGGAGAAAAUCAUCCCAGGUUCGUUUCCUGUUCUAAGGGUGCAAUUCUUCACAGAUCCAUGGAGUUGGAGAGCACAUGCAUGCAUAUAGGUGGAUCAGCAUUAGGUUUUAUUUUCAUGUUCAUGAGCACAUAUAUGUGAAAAGGACGAGAAGCCAGGCUUGCUGGGACUUAGCAGAUGCAGAACAGAGGAUUAGAACUGCUUCGUGCUACCAAGAAAAAUUUUCCAUUAUGAGAACUUACUAUCAUGUGACUUGUGCUCUUUUUACGAGUUGUAAAUCACCGUCUUUGAGCAUAGUGCUCCUACAUGUGGUAGAGGGGUUGUAUGUUUGUGUGGGUAUGCACAUUUGUGUGUACGCUUGCUUCCUUAGUGCUGACUUACAGGGAACACUGAAAAAAGGAGAGAAAAGAAUAUUUGCACCUUUAACUGAGGAACCCUAAAAUAGUUUUAUUGUUAAGUGGGCAUAUAUUUAACUUUUCUUGAAUGGAACUGAAAAGUCAGAAAUCAAAUACAUGUUUCAUCUUAUAAGUCACUUCCCAAUGUGCUCUCCAAAGUGAUUUUACCAUUCACAACCCCCAAAUAUGUUUCAUGUCUACUUAUUCCAUAUCUACACAAACAUUUGAUAUCAUCAGUCAGUUUAAUUGUAAUCUCUUGGAUUGCUAUAUGAUGAUAUUCAUUAUGGAUUUAUGUGCACUUUACUCAUACACUUUUCUUUGCAGGGACUAGGUACAUUGUCUUUUCAUGCACUUAAAGGCCAUUUUUAUGUAUACCUUUAGUGAAAGAUCAGCUUAACUAGAUUGCCUAUUUGAGUUAAUUUACU